Long non-coding RNA from Cucumis sativus (cucumber), 273 nucleotides. RefSeq lists it as uncharacterized. The record is from RefSeq and is a predicted model, not a curated record. NCBI's taxonomy places the organism in Eukaryota, Viridiplantae, Streptophyta, Magnoliopsida, Cucurbitales, Cucurbitaceae. The transcript is spliced from 2 exons.
UUUUGUUUUCAGGUUUUCAUCAUUAUUCAUUUGGUGGCUAAAUAUUACUCAUGGGACGUUUCUAGAGAAUGCAAGACCAUGUUUGAGUGAGAAAUUGGUCUUGAUGAAAUUGAGAGUUCAAUGAACAGCACACCCGUAUCACCCGUAUUUCUAUUUCUAAAGCAGAAGGGCUUUCGGUGGCUGAAACAAGUGAGUGAUUAAGUUUUUUAUCACCCGUAUUAUUUGUUAUCACUAGGGAAAGAAAGCUGAGUAGAAAAAGUAGAAUGCCAAAUG